UGAGUUUGGCGGUAUUAUAUUCUCACUAGAGGAAUCUGUUCUAUUAAGGAUAAAACACCUAAUUAUUUUCUCUAUUUUUUUUAAUUAGCCUAUCACCGUUGUUAGAUAAUUGUCUUAACAUAUUAUCUUAAUUUUUAAGCACUUCAGGUCAAGAUACUAUUUAUAGUGGAGUUUGAGAUGGAUUACAAUCUACAUACAGAGACGGAAAAUUAUUUAUUGGAAGGUGGAUUUAGCUGUAACAAUAAAGUUAUGCUAUUCUGAACCAGGUCUAUAAUAUGU
RNAcentral lists this ribosomal RNA (279 nucleotides) under Paramiopsalis ramblae. RNAcentral's name for it is "partial 12S ribosomal RNA". The record is from RNAcentral. Lineage: Eukaryota; Metazoa; Arthropoda; Arachnida; Opiliones; Sironidae.